GAUUAUUUAACUAUAUAAGUAUAUAUUUUGAAAGUAUAAAAAAGAACACAUCUAAUAAUCU
This 61-nucleotide transfer RNA is filed under the name Quadristernoseta cf. longigynium XFX-2019. RNAcentral's name for it is "tRNA-Ser". The record is from RNAcentral. Lineage: Eukaryota; Metazoa; Arthropoda; Arachnida; Mesostigmata; Diplogyniidae.